GCCUGGGUGGCUCAGUCGGUUAAGCGUCCGACUUCAGCUCAGGUCAUGAUCUCACAGUUCGUGGGUUCGAGCCCCGCGUCAGGCU
This 85-nucleotide transfer RNA is filed under the name Crocuta crocuta (spotted hyena). It matches the Rfam family "tRNA". Rfam says of the family: Transfer RNA (tRNA) molecules are approximately 80 nucleotides in length. Their secondary structure includes four short double-helical elements and three loops (D, anti-codon, and T loops). Further hydrogen bonds mediate the characteristic L-shaped molecular structure. tRNAs have two regions of fundamental functional importance: the anti-codon, which is responsible for specific mRNA codon recognition, and the 3' end, to which the tRNAs corresponding amino acid is attached (by aminoacyl-tRNA synthetases). tRNAs cope with the degeneracy of the genetic code in two manners: having more than one tRNA (with a specific anti-codon) for a particular amino acid; and 'wobble' base-pairing, i.e. permitting non-standard base-pairing at the 3rd anti-codon position. Lineage: Eukaryota; Metazoa; Chordata; Mammalia; Carnivora; Hyaenidae. RNAcentral also lists the same sequence under 1 other name. The record is from Rfam by way of RNAcentral.